AUGUCAUUGGUGCCAUGUAUAACUAGUUGGAUGAAGGGUUGCUCUCCAGCGGCCGACGAGGAGAGGGCAGCGAUGGUGCCGCUGCCUCCUCCAGCUAGGGACGAGAUCGUCGACGAGGAUCUGGCGGCGGAGCACACCAAGCCGUGCUGGACGACGACGGCGAAGGGCGGCGUUGGAGUGGUCAUGUCCAUCUUUGUGCUUCUUGCUUUGCUAGUCGGCAUCAAAUGGAUCCACCUCGACGCAGCUUACUACACGUUCUUGCCGGCGGGCACCGGGUUCAGUCAGCAUAGACGCGGCCACUCGUCCACGGCGCCCCUGGUACCCAUACCAUUGAGCUGCAGCAACGACACCGACACAUCGUCCUCGUCAUCCAACAAACGGCGGUACUAUCCAGGCGUGCGGCCGCCUUGGUGCCCGGACUACUUCCGCCACAUCCACGCGGACAUGGAGCCGUGGCGCGCGACGGGGAUCACGCGGGACGCGGUGGAGCGCGCGCAGCCCCACGCCGACUUCCGGCUGCUGGUGGUGGCCGGGCGCGCGUACGUGGAGAAGUACCGCGACUCGUUCCAGACCCGGGACGUCUUCACGCAGUGGGGCAUCCUGCAGCUGCUCGCCCGCUACCCGGGCCGCGUCCCGGACGUCGACAUCAUGUUCAGCACCCUCGACUCUGUCAGAUAA
Molecule: ribosomal RNA, 678 nt
Filed under: Triticum aestivum (bread wheat)
Lineage: Eukaryota; Viridiplantae; Streptophyta; Magnoliopsida; Poales; Poaceae
Description: partial small subunit ribosomal RNA
Source: RNAcentral